GACGAACGCUGGCGGCGUGCUUAACACAUGCAAGUCGAACGGAAAGGCCCUGCUUUUGUGGGGUGCUCGAGUGGCGAACGGGUGAGUAACACGUGAGUAACCUGCCCUUGACUUUGGGAUAACUUCAGGAAACUGGGGCUAAUACCGGAUAGGAGCUCCUGCUGCAUGGUGGGGGUUGGAAAGUUUCGGCGGUUGGGGAUGGACUCGCGGCUUAUCAGCUUGUUGGUGGGGUAGUGGCUUACCAAGGCUUUGACGGGUAGCCGGCCUGAGAGGGUGACCGGCCACAUUGGGACUGAGAUACGGACCAGACUCCUACGGGAGGCAGCAGUGGGGAGUAUUACACAAUGGGCGGGAGCCUGAUGCGGCAGCGCCGCGUGCGGGAUGACGGCCUUCGGGUUGUAAACCGCUUUCGCCUGUGACGAAGCGUGAGUGACGGUAAUGGGUAAAGAAGCACCGGCUAACUACGUG
This 468-nucleotide ribosomal RNA is filed under the name uncultured bacterium. RNAcentral's name for it is "partial 16S ribosomal RNA". It matches the Rfam family "Bacterial small subunit ribosomal RNA", at positions 28 to 507 of the family's 1533-position model. The record is from RNAcentral.